Molecule: ribosomal RNA, 253 nt
Filed under: uncultured bacterium
Lineage: Bacteria
Description: partial 16S ribosomal RNA
Rfam family: Bacterial small subunit ribosomal RNA
Source: RNAcentral
UACAGAGGGUGCAAGCGUUAAUCGGAAUUACUGGGCGUAAAGCGUGCGCAGACGGUUGCGUAAGUCUGGUGUGAAAUCUCCCGGCUCAACUGGGAGGGUGCGCCGGAUACUGAGGGGCUAGAGUGUGGGAGAGGAAAGUGGAAUUCCAGGUGUAGCGGUGAAAUGCGUAGAUAUCUGGAGGAACACCGGUGGUGUAAACGGCUUUCUGGACCAUUACUGACGCUGAUGCACGAAAGCGUGGGUAGCAAACAGG